Paramuricea clavata is the source of this 1230-nucleotide non-coding RNA. NCBI's taxonomy places the organism in Eukaryota, Metazoa, Cnidaria, Anthozoa, Malacalcyonacea, Plexauridae. The record is from the annotation of a GenBank genome assembly.
GUGUUUAAAAUACAGAACAGAACAACAGCAAGAUUUAAAAAGACUAGAGAAACUCAACAAUAUCCUAAUGAGACACAUGGCUUCCAAAUAACACUGAGCGUAAGAUAAGUACUAAAAUAUAAAUGGGAAUUCAAAUAAUAUGAUGGGUGGUGUGUUCUUACAAAAUUCAAAGUGAAAGAAUUUGACAUAUGAUUCUCCAAAAUUUGAAUUGAUAUGGAGUAAAUGCAAGAAUAUCGAAGUGCUUGGGAACUGAAUAUAAUGUAUAUACAACAGUAAAUAAUCAAACAGCUGGUUCUGAGUAUAGGGCCAUGGUCUUGAAAGUUGAAAUGGGUGUUGAACGUUGGGUGCCAAUCUAGAUAGCAGAGAAUACAAACUGAGAACUUGUGUAAUGAUGGAAAGUUCUACCUGAAAAAUAUAAAAAUAACUUCGAUGUUUCGAGCGAAGGCCUUUGUCUGGAAAUUGGCAGGCCCUUAGCAGGGUGGAAAAAAUAUAGGUGAGCACGCGAACACUGCUCGCAGGAAAUGUUAAACAGCUGCAGAAGAUUUGUUUGAAUAAAGAUUUGGUAUUGAAAAUUUGAAGGAAACUUUAACACCCAUGUCCCACUAUGGGCGUAACAACAUAUGGUUGACAGACAUUAUUGCUUGAAUUUAAAACUAUGGUCAGCUAGAACACUAUAUGUUUAUGCACAAUCAUACAGAUCUAGCACAAAAAUAUUCCGUUGGUCUGCAGGAAAUUUUUGCCUCCAGAAAGAAAAUUCUUUUUUCCUGCCUUUGAAAGGGUCUUUGGUGGAAAAGUUAUUUUAAUAUUUUUUAGUAGUUUUAUCAUCUACACAAGUUUGCUAUCAGAUUUUAGCACAUUUACAUAUAACAUUUAUAUGAUAUUACAAGGGAAAGCCUCGUCAGGACAGUAGACUAUCUUCAGCAUUUUUUCUAUGUCGGAUACUGUAACAUAACGUAUGCAUUUAAUAUAACUCAGCAAGACAUUGAAAAUAUUGUGACAUAAGUAUUAUUAAUACUUCUAUUGAUUUACUAAGAUUUUUAUCCGAUUUCAAUGCUGUGACUGUGUAUUCUUAAAUAUUGUCCAAAACAUGUCAUUGUGUGGGAAGUUCGUGUGUGUAUAUUAAUAGCUUGUAGCCAAUCAGAGAUGAUGUACAGGAGUUUACAGCCAAUCAGACUAGUUUUGUUUGUUACAUUUUGAUGACUAUACUGCUAUUUACAGUAAAGAAAGUCA